Molecule: ribosomal RNA, 254 nt
Filed under: uncultured bacterium
Lineage: Bacteria
Description: partial 16S ribosomal RNA
Rfam family: Bacterial small subunit ribosomal RNA
Source: RNAcentral
UACGUAGGAGGCGAGCGUUGUCCGGAGUUACUGGGCGUAAAGGGUGCGCAGGCGGCGUCACGCGUGGCUAGAUGAAAUCUCCUGGCUUACCUGGGAGGGUGGUAGCCAGACGGUGGCGCUUGAGGGUCGGAGAGGGGCGUGGAAUUCCGGGUGGAGCGGUGAAAUGCGUAGAGAUCCGGAGGAACACCGACGGCGAAGGCGGCAUCCUGGACCGACACUGACGCUGAGGAGCGAAAGCCAGGGGAGCAAACGGG